This 253-nucleotide ribosomal RNA is filed under the name uncultured bacterium. Its description in RNAcentral is "partial 16S ribosomal RNA". It matches the Rfam family "Bacterial small subunit ribosomal RNA", at positions 524 to 776 of the family's 1533-position model. The record is from RNAcentral.
GACGUAGGGCGCGAGCGUUGUCCGGAUUUAUUGGGCGUAAAGAGCUCGUAGGCGGCUUGUCGCGUCGACUGUGAAAACCCAUGGCUCAACCGUGGGCUUGCAGUCGAUACGGGCGGGCUAGAGUUCGGUAGGGGAGACUGGAAUUCCUGGUGUAGCGGUGAAAUGCGCAGAUAUCAGGAGGAACACCGGUGGCGAAGGCGGAUCUCUGGGCCAUUACUGACGCUGAGGAGCGAAAGCGUGGGGAGCGAACAGG